GACGAACCGUGCGAACGUUAUUCGGAAUCACUGGGCUUAAAGCGCGUGUAGGCGGGACGGCACGUCGGUCGCUGAAAUCCCCCGGCUCAACCGGGGAACGGGCGCCGAUACGACCGCCCUGGAGGGGCGUAGGGGGACCUGGAACUUCCGGUGGAGCGGUGAAAUGCGUUGAGAUCGGAAGGAACGCCCGUGGCGAAAGCGAGGUCCUGGACGCCUACUGACGCUGAGACGCGAAAGCCAGGGGAGCGAACGGG
This 254-nucleotide ribosomal RNA is filed under the name uncultured bacterium. RNAcentral describes it as "partial 16S ribosomal RNA". It matches the Rfam family "Bacterial small subunit ribosomal RNA", at positions 524 to 776 of the family's 1533-position model. The record is from RNAcentral. RNAcentral also lists the same sequence under 1 other name.